RNAcentral lists this ribosomal RNA (434 nucleotides) under uncultured Lachnospiraceae bacterium. Its description in RNAcentral is "partial 16S ribosomal RNA". It matches the Rfam family "Bacterial small subunit ribosomal RNA", at positions 341 to 792 of the family's 1533-position model. The record is from RNAcentral. Lineage: Bacteria; Bacillati; Bacillota; Clostridia; Lachnospirales; Lachnospiraceae.
ACGGAAGGCAGCAGUGGGGAAUAUUGCACAAUGGGGGAAACCCUGAUGCAGCGACGCCGCAUGAGUGAAGAAGUAUUUCGGUAUGUAAAGCUCUAUCAGCAGGAAAGAAAAUGACGGUACCUGACUAAGAAGCCCCGGCUAACUACGUGCCAGCAGCCGCGGUAAUACGUAGGGGGCAAGCGUUAUCCGGAUUUACUGGGUGUAAAGGGAGCGUAGACGGCUUUGCAAGUCUGAAGUGAAAGCCCGGGGCUCAACCCCGGAACUGCUUUGGAAACUGUAGAGCUAGAGUGCAGGAGAGGUAAGUGGAAUUCCUAGUGUAGCGGUGAAAUGCGUAGAUAUUAGGAGGAACACCAGUGGCGAAGGCGGCUUACUGGACUGUAACUGACGUUGAGGCUCGAAGGCGUGGGGAGCAAACAGGAUUAGAUACCCUGGUA